GGAGAGGUGGCUGAGCUGGUUGAAGGCGCAGCAUUGGAAAUGCUGUAAACGGCUAUCCCGUUUCGAGGGUUCGAAUCCCUUCCUCUCCU
RNAcentral lists this transfer RNA (89 nucleotides) under Clostridia bacterium. Its description in RNAcentral is "tRNA-Ser". It matches the Rfam family "tRNA". Rfam says of the family: Transfer RNA (tRNA) molecules are approximately 80 nucleotides in length. Their secondary structure includes four short double-helical elements and three loops (D, anti-codon, and T loops). The record is from RNAcentral. Lineage: Bacteria; Bacillati; Bacillota; Clostridia.